Molecule: ribosomal RNA, 253 nt
Filed under: uncultured bacterium
Lineage: Bacteria
Description: partial 16S ribosomal RNA
Rfam family: Bacterial small subunit ribosomal RNA
Source: RNAcentral
UACGUAGGUGGCAAGCGUUGUCCGGAAUUAUUGGGCGUAAAGCGCGCGCAGGCGGUUUCUUAAGUCUGAUGUGAAAGCCCCCGGCUCAACCGGGGAGGGUCAUUGGAAACUGGGAAACUUGAGUGCAGAAGAGGAAAGUGGAAUUCCAAGUGUAGCGGUGAAAUGCGCAGAUAUCAGGAGGAACACCGAUGGCGAAGGCAGCUCGCUGGGACGGUACUGACGCUGAGACGCGAAAGCGUGGGGAGCAAACAGG